CCCCUAGAUGUUCUGGGCCGCACGCGCGCUACACUGAACAGUUCAACAAGUCUUAACCUUGGCCGAUAGGUCUGGGUAAUCUUUGAACGCUGUUCGUGAUUGGGAUAGACCUUUGCAAUUAUGGGUCUUCAACGAGGAAUUCCUAGUAAACGCAAGUCAUCAGCUUGCAUUGAUUACGUCCCUGCCCUUUGUACACACCGCCCGUCGCACCUACCGAUUGAGUGGUCCGGUGAAAUCUCGGGACGGCGGCUCGGUCGCUUGCGUCCGACUGCUGAAACUUGAUUAAACCAUAUCAUUUAGAGGAAGGUGAAGUCGUAACA
RNAcentral lists this ribosomal RNA (320 nucleotides) under uncultured eukaryote. RNAcentral describes it as "partial 18S ribosomal RNA". It matches the Rfam family "Eukaryotic small subunit ribosomal RNA", at positions 1470 to 1796 of the family's 1831-position model. The record is from RNAcentral.